RNAcentral lists this ribosomal RNA (440 nucleotides) under uncultured bacterium. RNAcentral's name for it is "partial 16S ribosomal RNA". It matches the Rfam family "Bacterial small subunit ribosomal RNA", at positions 338 to 795 of the family's 1533-position model. The record is from RNAcentral.
CCUACGGGUGGCAGCAGUGGGGGAUAUUGCACAAUGGGGGAAACCCUGAUGCAGCGAAGCCGCGUGAGUGAAGAAGUAUUUCGGUAUGUAAAGCUCUUUCAGCAGGGAAGAAAAUGACAGUACCUGACCCAGAAGCCCCGGCUAACUACGUGCCAGCAGCCGCGGUAAUACGUAGGGGGCAAACGUUAUUCGGAUUUACUGGAGGUAAAGGGUGCGUAGACGGGUUUUGCAGUCUGGAGUGAAAGGCCGGGGCCAAACCCCGGGACUGCAUUGGAAAUUGUGUAACUGGAGUACAGGAGGGGCAGGCGGAAUUCCUGGUGUAGCGGUGAAAUGCGUAGAUAUCAGGAGGAACACCGGCGGCGAAAGCGGCCUGCUGAACUGAAACUGACGUUGAGGCUCGAAAGCGUGGGGAGCAAACAGGAUUAGAUACCCCUGUAGUC